This 635-nucleotide long non-coding RNA is filed under the name Homo sapiens (human). Its description in RNAcentral is "HSALNT0292277". The record is from RNAcentral. Lineage: Eukaryota; Metazoa; Chordata; Mammalia; Primates; Hominidae.
GCCACCUCGCGUCCCGCUAUCCCCGCGCACGCCGCCUCCGGCCCUGAGUCCCGGCCGCACCCGGCGCCGCUCACCUGCUUCUGGAUGUCCCGCACGCGCUGCUCGUGCAGGCGCGGAGCGCUGCUGAGCUUGAACACCACCCAGGCGCGCACGUAGUAGUAGAUAUCGAAGAUAAGCGAGAGCGGCAGGAGGAAGAGGCACACGAACACCCAGCGCUGGUGGAUGAGCACGAACUCCAGCCCCUUCAGGCGCACCCACAGCAGGAAGAGCAGCGCGCACACGGCCAGCGACACGGCGGGCUCCAUGGUGCGGCGCCGCGCGGGGGCACUUUCCACGAAUUCAUUUGAGCUACACAGCAGUCCUGGGCAGUGGGGAGUGGUGAGCUCCAUUGUGUACACUUGGAAGCAGCCCAGAAAGGUGAAGACCUGUUCGUGAACUCCAGAGGCCAUUGGAAGCAUGGAAGGCUAUGGCUGGCACUCUUCCUCUUUUUCCAGUUCACUGAGGCAGAUGGGAGGCCCGGAGGAGAAAGAAUGAAGGAAGGCAUUUCAGCCCGAGUAAACUCCCCAGGCCCGCUCUGUGCCAGGCAGUGUUGCAAGCCUCGGGUAGGGUGGUGAGCAAAGCAGAUGGCCCUGCCC